GCCCAACCAGAUUCAACUGAAAACAGGAAUCUGCUGUAGCUUCGGUGCACAGAGAGCUAACGGAGCAGAUCGGUGGUUCAAUAGUCUCCGGUCGCCGGCGGCAUCAGUAGUAGCGGCAGCGGCAGCUUUGUCGUUACCAGAAAAUAGAAUCGGCGCCGGAGACACAGGUUGGGUAAAGAUGAAGGGUUUAUUAUUCAAAUCAAAGCCGAAAACUCCGGUUGAACUUGUUCGUCAAACUCGUGAUCUCCUUAUGUAUACACAGCGUAAUUCUGAUAUCCGCGAGAGCAAGCGAGAAGAAAAGAUGAUGGAGUUAA
This 314-nucleotide unclassified non-coding RNA is filed under the name Hevea brasiliensis (rubber tree). Lineage: Eukaryota; Viridiplantae; Streptophyta; Magnoliopsida; Malpighiales; Euphorbiaceae. The record is from RNAcentral.